RNAcentral lists this ribosomal RNA (400 nucleotides) under uncultured bacterium. RNAcentral's name for it is "bacterial SSU rRNA". It matches the Rfam family "Bacterial small subunit ribosomal RNA", at positions 355 to 772 of the family's 1533-position model. The record is from RNAcentral.
UGGGGAAUAUUGGACAAUGGGGGCAACCCUGAUCCAGCCAUGCCGCGUGAGUGAUGAAGGCCUUCGGGUUGUAAAACUCUUUUAGGUGGGAAGAUAAUGACGGUACCACCAGAAAAAGCUCCGGCUAACUUCGUGCCAGCAGCCGCGGUAAUACGAAGGGAGCUAGCGUUGUCCGGAAUUACUGGGCGUAAAGCGCACGCAGGCGGCGAUCCAAGUCAGAGGUGAAAGCCCGGGGCUUAACCCCGGAACUGCCUUUGAAACUGGAUUGCUAGAGUAUGACAGGGGAUAGCGGAAUUCCGAGUGUAGAGGUGAAAUUCGUAGAUAUUCGGAGGAACACCGAUGGCGAAGGCAGCUAUCUGGGUCAUGACUGACGCUCAUGUGCGAAAGCGUGGGGAUCAAA